Long non-coding RNA from Stegostoma tigrinum, 2286 nucleotides. RefSeq lists it as uncharacterized. The record is from RefSeq and is a predicted model, not a curated record. The transcript has 3 exons. Lineage: Eukaryota; Metazoa; Chordata; Chondrichthyes; Orectolobiformes; Stegostomatidae.
GCGUUACAUUAUCGGAAACUCGUCUCACUGCUGCUGGCACAGGAAAUUGUAGACAUUGAAACCGGUCUUACCGCUACAAGCAGGUCGAUGUUUUAUGGAUCAAAAACAGAAAAUGGGUUGAAAAAUUCAGCAGCCCUGGCAUCAACUCAGCGUCCGUGGAGAGAAAGCACAUCCAGUGACCCUUCUUCAGAACGGACCCGAAAUUUUAACCAGACCUGCUGAGUUUUUCCAACAGCUUCUGCUCGUUUCCGAUUUCCGGCAUCCGUAGUUCUUUGGAUGUUGUUUUCUUUUGUUUGGUGUUGUAUGGGAUGGCUUAUUCUUGUUAGAUCUUUCACAGACGAGCGGUAGGGGUUGGAACUAAAGCAGGCUGUGUCCAACCUGAUUUAAAAAUAAACGCUUACCUCUCACCAGGCAAUCUAGAGAAAAUCUUAACGACGCAACAUGAGAAAGACAAGGAGAGCCCACACCCACUUGUGCUAUCAGUUAUAGGAGUAAUAUGAGGAAUGAGAUUUUUAACGCUCCUUAAAUAAUCUCGACAUUCUAUCAUCAUUACGUUGGAGCUCAAACUGAAACGGAGUAGUUUUGGUUGAAAGAAUACAUUUAACCUAUCAGUAAUGAGAAAUAACUUAGAUCCGUUUACAGAUCCAAUAAUAGAAAGUGCCAAAUCAUUGCUUGGAUAGCGUAAUUAAUAACUAGAGAUUACCCAAAACUUUUUAUUCUAUUUACACUAAGAUUUUUUGUACCUGACAUGGAUAAUAUUCAAAUACAGCACACAGCUAUCUCUAUCUUCCUGCUGGAUUGUUGGCUGUAGCUGACGUUUUAUUGCUAUGCGAUGAUAGUAGUAUGAGGUAAAUUGUUGCUCAAAAGGUGAAGGUUAUAGAUCUUAGUGGGAAUCAAAACAGCAGAUUCAUGAAACUUUUCUGAUGCAGGGUCCAGGUCCGAAACAUCAGCUUUUGUGCUCCUGAGAUGCUGCUUGGCCUGCUGUGUUCAUCCAGCCUCACAUUUUAUUAUCUUGGAAUUCUCCAGCAUCUGCAGUUCCCAUUAUCUCUGAAGGUUAUACACUUGCUCAUUGGGUUCUAAAAGCUCAUUUCCCACAGUACGGUUUCCCAGAGAGAGCAGAUGAUUGAUUUAUGUAAGUUAAUGAAUCUUUGAGUGGGUUAAAAUUGGGCCAUGGGUUUGAGAAAUGGUCCAGAACUCAAUAUACUGCUUCAGCCCUUUGUAAGUACAGCUCACUCUGGUCUGAAGUUGUACUCUGUGGUCUCCAUUUAGCUUUUCUGUACUCGUGUCAGACGGAGACUUGAAUCUGUUUGUUUUGCUGCUAUUGUCACAUUGCUGUCAUCCAGAAAAAUCAAUUUCACAAAAUGCUUCCUGAACAUCCUGCUGGUAAUAAUAUUUAAUGCAUUCACCCAAAAACAAGUAGGACUUGUCGAAUGAUUGAAUUAAGAAUUUUUAGCACUCAGUUGUACAGAAUAUGACAACACUAUCAACAUAUUAAAAACAUUUUACUACUUUUUACCAUCCUUUUUAGAAUUGUCGAAUCACAAAGAAGAGGCCAUUAAGCUGCUUGAGCUGUUCCAUCAAUUGCCUAGAUCUUAGUGGGAAUCAAAACAGCAGAUUCAUGAAACUUUUCUGAUGCAGGGUCCAGGUCCGAAACAUCAGCUUUUGUGCCCCUAAGAUGCUGCUUGGCCUGCUGUGUUCAUCCAGCUCUACACUGUGUUACCCUUUGUGUGAACAUUGCUUCUGGAUUCAUUGAGUGUCUAAUAUAACUCUAAUUUUAAGAAAACUGUUUUAGAUUCCCUGAAUCUCCUGAGGCCAAACCUGCCAGCUCAGGUCCAGAAGUAAUUUCUUAGCACAGGAACCAACAGAGAGACCUGUAAAGAAAACCAUUGCUGAGGACACAGUCCCAUUUCACAACUUCAGCUCCUACCUUUAGUCUUAUUACCUAAAUCUGAUGUGAUACUCUUCUGCUACCAAAAGCUGAAUUGGAUUUUCUGAAGGUUUAAGACACUCCAGUAUUGAAGAACAAUUAUCAAAGAGAGUCUGGUAUUCGCUUUAUCAGCUUGUGAGAAAAAAUCACAAAUGAAAUUAGGAGGAAUACCAAAAUAUAUUGCAGUGUGAUCUUAUUUUCUCAUUCGAUGGCAAUGAAUGCAGAUCCAGUUCGGAAAAAUGUCAUUAUUAUUCUUGCUUGGAAAAGAUGUGGAAAGUCACAUCUAUGUGGGACAAUCACUAGAGCAAGAAAAUGCUCAAUUUGAGGAUUUAAUCUGUCAAGAUUUUAUGGACACUUCU